GACAUGUACCCCUAACAAUCUUUCCAUACACCACAUAUAGUUGACCCAACUGCUUAUUGUAAUUGAAAAACAGACCAAAACACGAAACUGAAUGUUAACCAAUGAACUACGGAAAUGAGAUCAAGGUCAUAUGAUACUUGAUAGACAAACAUGUACACCUUACAAUCAUUUCAUACAAAAAUAAUAUUUGACUUAUUGCUAUUAUUAUUUGAAAAACAGACCAAAUGAAUCAUUGAUCAAUGAACCAUGAAAUCGAGGUCAAGGUCAGAUAACACCAGCUAGACGAUAUGUACACAUUCAAUCAUUCCAUAAACUAAGUGUAGUUG
Molecule: long non-coding RNA, 326 nt
Filed under: Mytilus galloprovincialis (Mediterranean mussel)
Lineage: Eukaryota; Metazoa; Mollusca; Bivalvia; Mytilida; Mytilidae
Source: RNAcentral